RNAcentral lists this transfer RNA (63 nucleotides) under Nipponnemertes punctatula. RNAcentral's name for it is "tRNA-Val". The record is from RNAcentral. Lineage: Eukaryota; Metazoa; Nemertea; Enopla; Monostilifera; Cratenemertidae.
CAGGAGAAAGCAUUUAGAUGUUUUUCGUUUACGUUGAAAGGAAGAUAGGAUUAUCUCUCUUGA